Molecule: ribosomal RNA, 448 nt
Filed under: Nummulites venosus
Lineage: Eukaryota; Foraminifera; Rotaliida; Nummulitidae
Description: partial 28S ribosomal RNA
Source: RNAcentral
GCGCAAUAAUAGAAACUAACCAGGAUUCCCUUAGUAACGGCGAGUGAAGUGGGAAGCAAUGCAUACGUCGCGUAAUUUAUUACGUGUUCGUAGCUCAGCCCGUCGAUAUAAUCCAUUCUUAGCUGUCGUACUUCGGUACCUCUGCUGGAAGGAAUUGUAGCAUCGAAAGCAUUCAAGUUGUAUUCAUACACUACGCAGUCAUAUUAUACACACACAUACACACCCCGCUGCAAGUGCUAUAAUAAUACAUACAGUGUAUCAUAUAUACGAUUCAAACACACAGCGUUUAGCGCUGGAAAGCAAUCAUUGUAGUUUUACUACAGCCAUAGAGUGUGACAGCCACGUUUUAUGGAAUUUGAUAUACUAUAUCGCACACACGCAGUCUUAUUGUAUAUGUCACGCGGUAGAAUACGUAAUUCGUGAAUGUUGACCCUGAGUCGAGUUGUUU